RNAcentral lists this ribosomal RNA (274 nucleotides) under uncultured bacterium. Its description in RNAcentral is "partial 16S ribosomal RNA". It matches the Rfam family "Bacterial small subunit ribosomal RNA", at positions 523 to 796 of the family's 1533-position model. The record is from RNAcentral.
AUACGAAGGGGGCUAGCGUUGUUCGGAAUUACUGGGCGUAAAGCGCGCGUAGGCGGAUUGGUCAGUUAGGGGUGAAAUCCCAGGGCUUAACCCUGGAACUGCCUCUAAUACUGCCAGUCUUGAGUUCGGGAGAGGUGAGUGGAAUUCCUAGUGUAGAGGUGAAAUUCGUAGAUAUUAGGAAGAACACCAGUGGCGAAGGCGGCUCACUGGCCCGAUACUGACGCUGAGGCGCGAAAGCGUGGGGAGCAAACAGGAUUAGAAACCCCAGUAGUCC